CCUACGGGUGGCAGCAGUGGGGAAUAUUGGGCAAUGGGCGCAAGCCUGACCCAGCAACGCCGCGUGAAGGAAGAAGGCUUUCUGGUUGUACACUUCUUUUCUCAGGGACGAAGAAAGUGACGGUACCUGAGUAAUAAGCCACGGCUAACUACGUGCCAGCAGCCGCGGUAAUACGUAGGUGGCAAGCGUUAUCCGGAUUUAUUGGGUGUAAAGGGCGUGUAGGCGGGAGCGCAAGUCAGAUGUGAAAACUCAGGGCUCAACCCUGAUCCUGCAUGUGAAACUGGGUUUCUUGAGUGCUGGAGAGGCAAUCGGAAUUCGGGGUGUAGCGGUGAAAUGCGUAGAUAUAAGGAGGAACACCAGUGGCGAAGGCGGAUUGCUGGACAGUAACUGACGCUGAGGCGCGAAAGCGUGGGGAGCAAACAGGAUUAGAUACCCCAGUAGUC
Molecule: ribosomal RNA, 443 nt
Filed under: uncultured bacterium
Lineage: Bacteria
Description: partial 16S ribosomal RNA
Rfam family: Bacterial small subunit ribosomal RNA
Source: RNAcentral